GUCUACUGCCAUGCCACCUGAACAAGCCCAAUCCUGUCUCAGAAACUAAGCAGGGUCGGGCCUGGUUAGUACUUGGAUGGGAGACCACCUAGGAAGACCAGGUGCCGUAGGUG
RNAcentral lists this ribosomal RNA (113 nucleotides) under Pteropus alecto (black flying fox). Lineage: Eukaryota; Metazoa; Chordata; Mammalia; Chiroptera; Pteropodidae. The record is from RNAcentral.